RNAcentral lists this ribosomal RNA (422 nucleotides) under uncultured Alistipes sp. RNAcentral describes it as "partial 16S ribosomal RNA". It matches the Rfam family "Bacterial small subunit ribosomal RNA", at positions 355 to 774 of the family's 1533-position model. The record is from RNAcentral. Lineage: Bacteria; Pseudomonadati; Bacteroidota; Bacteroidia; Bacteroidales; Rikenellaceae.
UGAGGAAUAUUGGUCAAUGGACGGAAGUCUGAACCAGCCAUGCCGCGUGCAGGAUGACGGCUCUAUGAGUUGUAAACUGCUUUUGUACGAGGGUAAACUUGGAUACGUGUAUCCAACUGAAAGUAUCGUACGAAUAAGGAUCGGCUAACUCCGUGCCAGCAGCCGCGGUAAUACGGAGGAUCCGAGCGUUAUCCGGAUUUAUUGGGUUUAAAGGGUGCGUAGGUGGUUUUAUAAGUUAGAGGUGAAAGCUAGAUGCUUAACAUUUAAAUUGCCUCUAAUACUGUAGAACUAGAGACUAGUUGCAGAAGGCGGAAUGUGUGGUGUAGCGGUGAAAUGCUUAGAUAUCACACAGAACACCGAUUGCGAAGGCAGCUUUCUAAGCUAUGUCUGACACUGAGGCACGAAAGCGUGGGGAGCAAACA